This is a long non-coding RNA of Octopus sinensis (East Asian common octopus), 835 nucleotides long. RefSeq lists it as uncharacterized. The transcript is spliced from 3 exons. The record is from RefSeq and is a predicted model, not a curated record. NCBI's taxonomy places the organism in Eukaryota, Metazoa, Mollusca, Cephalopoda, Octopoda, Octopodidae.
UUUUUUUUUUUUGGUGCUGUCUGUUCCAUUGACGUUGCCUUGCAUUUUGCAGUGCUACAAACCCUGGAAGGUUGGGGGGCAGUUUCAUGCUAGAAGAUGAGGUUACUAUGAGAGAAAGAAAGCUGUGCAAAGCAAGUUCCUGCAGCGAUAUCUCUGCAUGGCUACUAAUAUAUUAUAGGGAAAAUGUGGAGAGGGGUUAAACGAAAAAUGAUCAGUAGAAGCUGCAAAGUAUAGAUGAAGGUGAGAAGGUGGCCCCAACAAGGCACAACCUGAGUAAAUGUGGGUGGGUGGUUUCCACUAUACUCACACAGUUAACACUUGCUAAACCAUACUAGUAAGAGAUGAUGAAGAGUAUCUGGUUCUGCCGGUUAUCCAAGUUAGCUGAUUGUGUGGGUUAUAUGAUAUUGGAAAUAUAUACUGUAUACAAUGAAUGUGAUAAUCUAAUAACAUUACAGAAAGCACUGAGAAUAAAUGUUAACACUGCACUAUGUAAAAACUAAGGUGAUAACUUAUCCAACUCAUAGAAAUAUGUGUGUGACUGAACUGGAAUUGCAUCAACGUUGGAUGGGUCGAGAUCAUCAGCAAGGUUAAGGUAAAAUGACUAAUGAAUUUCAGUUGUUUACUUACUAAUACUAAUUUCAAAUAAUGAAUCCCUUUAAGUCUCUAAGAUGCUGAUCAUGUUCUUGAACAUCAGUUUCUUUUGAUAAUUCAUUGUACAAAAUGUUAUCCAGGGAUUCUUGUAUAACAGAAAAAGUUUAUUUCUUGGGCAGUAUCAAAUUAUUAGUUCCUUUUGAAAAGAUGCUUAACCCUUUCGUUACUGUAUUUAUUUUGAGAU